CUAACAGGUAGAGCUGAGCACUCUAAUGGGACUGCCGGUGACAAGCCGGAGGAAGGUGGGGAUGACGUCAAAUCAUCAUGCCCUUUAUGACCUGGGCUACACACGUGCUACAAUGGAUGGUACAGAGAGCAGCGAGGCAGCGAUGUGGAGCGAAUCUCAAAAAGCCAUUCUCAGUUCGGAUUGGAGUCUGCAACUCGACUCCAUGAAGUCGGAAUCGCUAGUAAUCGCGAAUCAGCAUGUCGCGGUGAAUGCGUUCCCGGGCCUU
RNAcentral lists this ribosomal RNA (265 nucleotides) under uncultured Syntrophomonas sp. RNAcentral describes it as "partial 16S ribosomal RNA". It matches the Rfam family "Bacterial small subunit ribosomal RNA", at positions 1118 to 1382 of the family's 1533-position model. The record is from RNAcentral. Lineage: Bacteria; Bacillati; Bacillota; Clostridia; Eubacteriales; Syntrophomonadaceae.